RNAcentral lists this transfer RNA (70 nucleotides) under Dipodomys ordii (Ord's kangaroo rat). It matches the Rfam family "tRNA". From Rfam's summary of the family: Transfer RNA (tRNA) molecules are approximately 80 nucleotides in length. Their secondary structure includes four short double-helical elements and three loops (D, anti-codon, and T loops). The record is from Rfam by way of RNAcentral. Lineage: Eukaryota; Metazoa; Chordata; Mammalia; Rodentia; Heteromyidae.
GGGGAGGUGGCUCAAUGGUAGAGCGCUUGCCUUGCAUGCAUGAGGCCCCGGGUUCGAUUCCUCAGCACCA